UACGGGGGGGGCAAGCGUUGUUCGGAAUUAUUGGGCGGAAAGAGCUCGUAGGCGGUUUGUCACGUCUGCUGUGAAAUCCCGAGGCUCAACCUCGGGCCUGCAGUGGGUACGGGCAGACUGGAGUGCGGUAGGGGAGAAUGGAAUUCCUGGUGUAGCGGUGAAAUGCGCAGAUAUCAGGAAGAACACCCGUGGCGAAGGCGGCUCUCUGGGACGGUACUGACGCUGAGACGCGAAAGCGUGGGGAGCGAACAGG
This 253-nucleotide ribosomal RNA is filed under the name uncultured bacterium. RNAcentral describes it as "partial 16S ribosomal RNA". It matches the Rfam family "Bacterial small subunit ribosomal RNA", at positions 524 to 776 of the family's 1533-position model. The record is from RNAcentral.